Molecule: unclassified non-coding RNA, 405 nt
Filed under: soil metagenome
Description: partial contains 5.8S ribosomal RNA, internal transcribed spacer 2, and large subunit ribosomal RNA
Rfam family: 5.8S ribosomal RNA (bases 1-121)
Source: RNAcentral
GAUGAAGAACGCAGUGAAAUGCGAUAAGUAGUGUGAAUUGCAGAAUUCAGUGAAUCAUCGAAUCUUUGAACGCACCUUGCGCCCUUUGGCCAUUCCGAAGGGCAUGCCUGUUUGAGUAUCAUGAACACCUCAACUCUUUAUGGUUUUCCAUGAUGAGCUUGGACUCUGGGGGUUUUGCUGGCUCACAGUCGGCUCCUCUAAAAUGAAUCAGCUUACCAGUGUUUGGUGGGUAUCAUGGGUGUGAUAACUAUCUACGCUUGUGGUUUUUCCACCAGGUAACCUUCAGCAGUGGAGGUUCGCUGGAGCUCAUAGAUGUAUCUCCUCAGUGAGGACAGCCCUUUGAAUGUUUGAUCUCAAAUCAGGUAGGACUACCCGCUGAACUUAAGCAUAUCAAUAAGCGGAGGA